UUCAAGUGGAACUAACGCAUCUAAAAUCCAGAAGCCGUGUUAAGAUGAGGUUCUAUUUAGCUCUAUUAAAUGUGCUUCUUUUUUGUUUAACAAUACACGGACACGAGGUCUGCCCUGGCAGACACAGCCCGAUGUGUGGCAAGAAUGGAACAUGCUACGUAACCUUUGCCAACGAAUGUAUUCGCAAUCUAUUCAACAGACAGCAAACUGCAAAUAGCUUAAAAAUAUUCGUGGUAGUGCAGAGGACAGCUUGCACUCCUCGCGAAAUGCCCCUUUGUAGGUUUCGUCAAAUGACAAACUGGAGUUUCAGCGAAACCCUUGAAAGAAGCCCGAAACUAGUUUCGAACAUAAACUAAAUAUAAGUAAUUGGAAAGAAACUAUGAUGGAUCUACUCUUAAACCGCAGAAAGAUUAUAAUAAAGGAGUUCCCAUAUCCAUAA
This is a long non-coding RNA of Drosophila miranda, 439 nucleotides long. RefSeq lists it as uncharacterized. The transcript is spliced from 3 exons. NCBI's taxonomy places the organism in Eukaryota, Metazoa, Arthropoda, Insecta, Diptera, Drosophilidae. The record is from RefSeq and is a predicted model, not a curated record.